Musca domestica (house fly) is the source of this 457-nucleotide long non-coding RNA. RefSeq lists it as uncharacterized. Lineage: Eukaryota; Metazoa; Arthropoda; Insecta; Diptera; Muscidae. The record is from RefSeq and is a predicted model, not a curated record. The transcript is spliced from 3 exons.
CAGAAUGUAGUGAUAUGAAUGGAAUACAUAAGAAACUGUAAGCAAAUAUGAUGAUUAUUUACAAAUAAAAGUCAAACUUCAAUUUUGCAAAGUGCAAUAAAGUUGAUUAAUUCAUCUAUAUUUUGUUGGUUUUUGGACAUCAGGAUUUCCGGUUUCACAAAGAUUUGAGUCAGCAAUUCCAAUCCUGUGGAAAUAUUUUUUGGUGUAAGUAUGACCAGUGAGCAAUCGAUUAAGAACCAGGGCUGUUUAGCAGGCGCUCGGAAGAAUUGGUAGAAGAGUGACUCAAUGCGUUUCGACGCAUCUGUGACCGACAGACAGAAGUUGAUUGGUGAACCAACAUUUGCUGCAUGCUUCGCAAAAUAAUCGGCUGUUUCAUUGAUUGGUAUACCGACAUGGGAAGGUGUCCAAACAAACGAGAUUUUAAUUAAAUGCGAAUUAACAAUUUUGUUUAGAAUAU